AUGUUCAGGAACAUCUUUCGGGAAGUGAUGCGAAUUCAGGAACGAUGGCCGAUAAUUGUGCUUCGGGAAGGUAAUAACCCACCACCAAAGCCAUGGGAGCGUGUUGGCACUUCAUCUGGCCCAGCCCCUUUCAAGCCCCCCUCUGGAGGCAGCACUAGCGACGUUGUUGAGGCCUCUGGGACAGCAAAACCUGGGGAAGUUGUUUCUGCUGCACAGAGCAAUGCUGCUUUCAACGUGAACAAUACAGUUGCAGGGCCUGUGCCCCCGCGUCCCUGGCAGCAGCAAGGAUACGGAAAUACUUAUGGGGGUGAUGGUGCCAGUACCUAUAAUUCAUAUGGUGGAUUUGGCGGGGCUUAUAGUAACGGUGGGCUAUACGGAAAUAAUAACAUGUAUUCAGGGUAUGGAGGUGGUUACGGCGGUUCGUACGGAGGCUCUGGGAUGUAUGGUGGGUCAAUGUAUAAUAACGGGAUGGGAAAUCCAUACGGUGGAAUGGGCAUGAGUCCUUACAAUCAGGGUCCUCAUUCGUUUGGCCCUCCAGCACCACCCCCAGGUUUCUGGGUGUCCUUCCUACGAGUGAUGCAUGGGAUUGUGAAUUUCUCUGGGCGAGUUGCAUUCCUUAUCAGCCAGAACACUCAGGCAUUCCACAUGUUCAUCACAGCUCUUUUGCAGCUAUGUGAUAAGUCUGGAAUGCUUUAUGGUGAGCUUGCGAGAUUCACAUUUCGAUUGCUGGGGAUCAAAACCAAACCAAAUAAGGGCAGAAUUCAGGGUGCACAAGCUCCAUCAUUGGAUGGGCCAGGCCAGCAGUUCGUUGAGGCACCAAAAGCUAGCAAGAACUCAUGGGAGAACGUCUGGAGCGGCGAUGCUAAGGGAAUGUGA
Molecule: ribosomal RNA, 876 nt
Filed under: Triticum aestivum (bread wheat)
Lineage: Eukaryota; Viridiplantae; Streptophyta; Magnoliopsida; Poales; Poaceae
Description: partial small subunit ribosomal RNA
Source: RNAcentral